AUCAUAAGCGGAGGAAAAGAAACCAACAGGGAUUGCCUUAGUAGCGGCGAGUGAAGCGGCAAAAGCUCAAAUUUGAAAUCUGGCUCUUUCAGAGUCCGAGUUGUAAUUUGAAGAAGGUAUCUUUGGGUCUGGCUCUUGUCUAUGUUUCUUGGAACAGAACGUCACAGAGGGUGAGAAUCCCGUGCGAUGAGAUGAUCCAGGCCUAUGUAAAGUUCCUUCGAAGAGUCGAGUUGUUUGGGAAUGCAGCUCUAAGUGGGUGGUAAAUUCCAUCUAAAGCUAAAUAUUGGCGAGAGACCGAUAGCGAACAAGUACAGUGAUGGAAAGAUGAAAAGAACUUUGAAAAGAGAGUGAAAAAGUACGUGAAAUUGUUGAAAGGGAAGGGCUUGAGAUCAGACUUGGUAUUUUGUAUGUUACUUCUUCGGGGGUGGCCUCUACAGUUUAUCGGGCCAGCAUCAGUUUGGGCGGUAGGAGAAUUGCGUUGGAAUGUGGCACGGCUUCGGUUGUGUGUUAUAGCCUUCGUCGAUACUGCCAGCCUAGACUGAGGACUGCGGUUUAUACCUAGGAUGUUGGCAUAAUGAUAAGUC
This 584-nucleotide ribosomal RNA is filed under the name Candida tropicalis. Its description in RNAcentral is "eukaryotic LSU rRNA". It matches the Rfam family "Eukaryotic large subunit ribosomal RNA", at positions 42 to 646 of the family's 3401-position model. The record is from RNAcentral. Lineage: Eukaryota; Fungi; Ascomycota; Pichiomycetes; Serinales; Debaryomycetaceae.